Molecule: RNA transcript, 1839 nt
Organism: Alosa sapidissima (American shad)
Lineage: Eukaryota; Metazoa; Chordata; Actinopteri; Clupeiformes; Clupeidae
Gene name: protein FAM200A-like
Exons: 8
Source: RefSeq, a predicted model, not a curated record
UGCCAACUCUCACACUCCUGGCGUGACACUCACGCUUUCACUAUCAAUGUCACGCUGUCACGCACACGCACGAAAUGUCACGCCAAAAAAAAAAAAAAUCUCCUGUUCAUUUCUGUUGAUGAUUAGCAGCUGUAAUAUCUGCCUACAACGUGAUAACGGCAGUAUUCUCUGAUCGUUGAUUCGCUGAAAACCAUGCACCUGUAUUCUCUGAUCGUCGACUCGCUGAAAACUAUGCACCUGGUACGUCACAGUUGCGUGUGAAACGUUCAGAGAGUUCGGGCGGAACUGAAGACAAUUGAUGCGCGUUCGGAAGUUUGGAUGAGAAUCAGUCAAGAUGAGCUUGCUGAAAUAUUUCAAAAGAAAAAAGGAUGAUGGACAUGGAGAGGAGAAGAAUCAAUCAGAGCUUCAGCAGCCUACCUUUUAGAUAGAGGAAAGAGUGGAGAAAGAUGAUGAUGAUGAUGAUGAGGUGCUGGUGGAGGAGGAGAAUGAGGUGCUGGUGGAGGAGGAGAAAGAUACAAGCACAGAGCCCACAGUCAGGCAGAAGAAAAAGGCAAAAUCAGGGGCCGCUGCUUACAAUUCCAAAUUUAACAGCGCCUGGACUAAAGAGUGGCCUUUCACUAAACAACUGUGUUUCACUUUUGUCUGCCGGCAUGAGUUAGAAUGCAGGCAUCAAGGCAGGUUAGAUGUUCAGAGGCAUAUCAACAGAGAGAGUCGCAUCAAAAAACAAAAAAUCCUUGAUGGUACCAACAAAAUAGAUUUGUUUGUUCGAGGGCUGAAGAGAUGAAUCUGGACACUCAGGCUAGAAGGGCAGAGGUCAAAGUGGCAGCCUGGUCAGCCACAAUGUUCCUAUAGCCUUUACAGACCACCUCAGCCCACUAUUUAAAGAAUGCUUUCCAGACUCUAAAAUUGCCAAGAAGUAUUGUUCUGCUAGAACAAAGACAACAGCCAUCAUCAACAAGGCAAUAAGUCCUUAUUUACUGAACACGAUAGUGAGCAACACUAGUAAUCCAGAGUAAUCCAUUCAGUCUGUCAACAGAUGGUUCCAUACAGGAAAGGCAAAGAUUAACCCUUUGACUGUCAAAAUCUGGGAGACCAAUGGGGUUGCCCAUAGAUUUUUUGGAUAUGGGAAUAACAAGUGGAGAAGACUGUGGCACUGCGGAAGCCAUAUUCAGCAAGAUGGACUCUGUGUUGAAAGGGCACAGUAUACCUUGGCAGAAUUGCAUUGCUCUUUCUGUUGACAAUGCCAGCGUCAAUAUGGGAGACAGGAACUCUAUCAAGUCGAGGGUGCUGAAAGAAAACCCUUCAGUGUUCAUCCUAGGUUGCCCAUGCCAUAUAGUGCACAACAAUGCCUCUGCUGCUGGUGCCGUGUAUGGUGAGAUCACAGGGUUCGAUGUUGAGGACCUGGCAGUAGAUGUGGGCUUUUGGUAUAAGGCUAGCACCAAGCGUAAGAACAUAUUGGAUGAAUUCUGUACGUUUUGUGACACAAGCUACAUGGAGACACUGCUGCAUGUGAGCACAAGAUGGCUUAGUUUGGAGAUGGUGGUCAAUCGGAAUCUACGUCUCUAUAAUGCACUCGUUAUUUUGAAAGCAUCCAUGAGAAGCAAGCCAGGUGUGCCCGGCUGCGUGAAUCUUUCCAGGACCCAAUGACCGAGAUCCAUCUCUUAUUCUACCAGUCUACACUGAUGACAUUCACACAUUUCAACCUGCUAUUCCAGCGGCAAGACCCUUGUGUCUAUCUACUUCAUGAACAAGUACAUACCACUUAUUGUUCAGGCCGAGGUCCUAGUAGUAGAUCCCUUUGAUACCAAUGUUAAUUAAACUCUGGGACCCUGGUCCCUA